This 253-nucleotide long non-coding RNA is filed under the name Populus tremula. RNAcentral describes it as "long non-coding RNA (PTRE_LNC002274)". Lineage: Eukaryota; Viridiplantae; Streptophyta; Magnoliopsida; Malpighiales; Salicaceae. The record is from RNAcentral.
CACCAUUUCCACAAACCUACCAUUUAUCAUUCUAACACUAGCAGUAGCCUCAGUCCAGCCUCCCACACUCAGAGAGAGAGAGAGAGAGAAGAGAGAGAGAGAAUGGCCACCACAGCAGCCCUCUCCAGCGCCAUGGUCAGCACAUCGUUUACUCGCCGGGUGCCGGCGACAAGCCUACGGGCACUUCCCAGAGUGGGGGAGGCUCUUCUUGGCUUGAAAGCCAGUCGAGGAGGACGUGUUAAAGCAGUUGCAC